GCGGUGAUUUAAUACUUAUUAGAGGAACUUGUUUUUUAAUCGAUAAACCACGUAGUAUCUUACUUACUUUAAAUAGUUUGUAUACCAUCAUUGUUAGAUAAUUUUAAGAGAAAUAAUUAUUGAAAUUAAUUAAUUAAAAAAAUUAGAUCAAGGUGCAGCUUAUAAGUAAGUUAAAAUGAGUUACAAUAAAAUUUAUUUAUUAUGGAUAUAAUAAUGAAAAAUAAUAUAGAAGGAGGAUUUAAUUGUAAUUAAAGUUUAAUAAGCUAUAAUGAUAAGAGCUCUAAAUCGUGU
RNAcentral lists this ribosomal RNA (291 nucleotides) under Sundathelphusa hades. Its description in RNAcentral is "partial 12S ribosomal RNA". Lineage: Eukaryota; Metazoa; Arthropoda; Malacostraca; Decapoda; Parathelphusidae. The record is from RNAcentral.